AGUAGUUUGACUCCGUGGCUACGAGGACGAACGCUGGCGGCGUGCUUAACACAUGCAAGUCGAACGGUGAACUCCAGCUUGCUGGGGGAUCAGUGGCGAACGGGUGAGUAACACGUGAGCAACCUACCCUUGACUUUGGGAUAACUCCGGGAAAUCGGGGCUAAUACUGGAUAUGACCUUCUGCCGCAUGGUGGGGGUGGAAAGAUUUAUCGGUCAGGGAUGGGCUCACGGCCUAUCAGCUUGUUGGUGGGGUAAUGGCCUACCAAGGCGACGACGGGUAGCCGGCCUGAGAGGGCGACCGGCCACACUGGGACUGAGAUACGGCCCAGACUCCUACGGGAGGCAGCAGUGGGGAAUAUUGCACAAUGGGCGAAAGCCUGAUGCAGCGACGCCGCGUGAGGGAUGACGGCCUUCGGGUUGUAAACCUCUUUCAGUAGGGAAGAAGCGAAAGUGACGGUACCUGCAGAAGAAGCGCCGGCUAACUACGUG
Molecule: ribosomal RNA, 489 nt
Filed under: uncultured Actinomycetales bacterium
Lineage: Bacteria; Bacillati; Actinomycetota; Actinomycetes; Actinomycetales
Description: bacterial SSU rRNA
Rfam family: Bacterial small subunit ribosomal RNA
Source: RNAcentral